GGGAGAAUGGCGGAAUUGGUAGACGCACCAGACUUAAAAUCUGGCAUCAGCAAUGGUAUGAGGGUUCAAGUCCCUCUUCUCCCA
Molecule: transfer RNA, 84 nt
Filed under: Ralfsiella minima
Lineage: Eukaryota; Bacillariophyta; Thalassiosirophyceae; Eupodiscales; Odontellaceae
Description: Odontella aurita var. minima tRNA-Leu
Rfam family: tRNA
About the family: Transfer RNA (tRNA) molecules are approximately 80 nucleotides in length. Their secondary structure includes four short double-helical elements and three loops (D, anti-codon, and T loops). Further hydrogen bonds mediate the characteristic L-shaped molecular structure. tRNAs have two regions of fundamental functional importance: the anti-codon, which is responsible for specific mRNA codon recognition, and the 3' end, to which the tRNAs corresponding amino acid is attached (by aminoacyl-tRNA synthetases). tRNAs cope with the degeneracy of the genetic code in two manners: having more than one tRNA (with a specific anti-codon) for a particular amino acid; and 'wobble' base-pairing, i.e. permitting non-standard base-pairing at the 3rd anti-codon position.
Source: RNAcentral